UUCCAUUUUAACCACUGAUCUUAAAUACGAAUACGAUACAGCUUUUACCCCUCAUUGCACAACACCACACAACAUCGACAUUUUGCAAUAGCCUGCGAGCAGGCUCAUCCCCACCAAAAUCGGAACUUCUCGUAAACGGUUCGGAGUCAAACUGCAAAAAAGUUUCGGCUAUCUUUAAAAUGGCUAUCUUUGCGGGAUGAUAGUUGCCUGCCUUACGUCACAGAUUUAUUCUCAGUGAUUGGCUGACUUUGGCGAUUCGCCCAAGCAACGCCCACGUCAACCCAAUGUCAAAAAAUUUUUACUUCUGAUACACUACAAAUAAAACCAGGAGAGAACUGAUCUUGAUUCUUACCUUUUUAAAAAGAUGAGGCAACACCAUGGUUGGUAGGGUCUUCGAGAGAAUGGAUAUCAAGAAAUGGAGGAUACCAAAUAAACUAUUUUUCGUUGUAAACCGGCCGGAUAUCGCGGGCUUGGCCGAAUGUGAAUCGUAUUUUGACGAUUGCCGACAACAUGCCGCAAAAAUGCGAUAAACGAAGCGGGGGUGACAUGGCGAAAAAAGAAUAAUCCAGGUGCAGGGGUUUGUUUAUUUGUUCUUUGAGACUUUUAUUAUGUUUUUAAUUAGUUUUGAUUAGAAAAUUAUAGCGCGAUUAUAGAGAAGUGGAGAAUAAUAUAGAGCGAUUAGAAAACCGAUCCUUAUUCGAUGGAUAGCGCUCUCCAGCAUUUUGUUUUGUACAGGGCGCUUAUAUAGUAUAUAAGCGCCCUGGUUUUGUACAACCGACCACAUCAGAAUAAUUUUUUAUUUGUCCAAUAGGAUUAGUGAUUCGUUAUCAUGUGACAGUAUUUUUAACAUGCGACAGAUGUGAGACGAGUUUGGGCGCGCCGGCUGCCGGUGCGAGCCGCGAGCGAGGCAUUUUCAAAAUUUCGUUGUGGUAUUACUGCUUGAGAACAAGAAUUACUGUAAAAAGUUCAAUAAAUUCAUUAAAUUCAGGUUUUUAAAACUGGGUAGCCUGGCAAAGAAAAGAGACUUAUAGCAAGCAAAAUUAAUAAAUCGCUUGCUGAAAGCUAUAUUCAAGACCGAAAAAGUCAAGUGCAUUGAAGUGCCAAAGAUCAUCACUACUUCGACCUAGCCCCAUAAACUCUGGGUAACCUGGCAAAGAAAAGAGGCUUAUAGCAAGCAAAAUUAAUAAAUCGCUUGUCAAGGCUAUAUUCAAGACUGAAAAAGUCAAGUGCAUUGAAGUUCCAAAAAUCAUUACUACCUCUACCUAGCCUCAUUAAAGAUUACUGUUCAAAUGUGACAAGGCCAAAAACGAAAGCAGAUCCUCAUGAUGAGCAACUGUGGAUCAAUCAACACAAAUCACCCUUGGCAAACGGAAAGAUAAGUGCAUUUAAGCAUAUUUCAUGAUAUGGUUUUCUUAUGGUCAACUUAAGGUCCUCUGUUUCUGCUUGUUGAUAUCACUUUUCGAUUUGCUAACCGCGGUAGCGUUCAUUUAUUCGGCAGCGUUCAUUUUUUCGGUAGCGUUCAUUUUUUCCCUAGCGUUCAUUUUUUCGGCAGCGUUCAUUUU
Long non-coding RNA from Dendronephthya gigantea, 1562 nucleotides. RefSeq lists it as uncharacterized. NCBI's taxonomy places the organism in Eukaryota, Metazoa, Cnidaria, Anthozoa, Malacalcyonacea, Nephtheidae. The transcript is spliced from 5 exons. The record is from RefSeq and is a predicted model, not a curated record.